RNAcentral lists this ribosomal RNA (292 nucleotides) under uncultured bacterium. RNAcentral's name for it is "partial 16S ribosomal RNA". It matches the Rfam family "Bacterial small subunit ribosomal RNA", at positions 505 to 796 of the family's 1533-position model. The record is from RNAcentral.
GUGUCAGCCGCCGCGGUAAUACAGAGGUCCCAAGCGUUGUUCGGAUUCACUGGGCGUAAAGGGUGCGUAGGCGGUUGGAUAAGUCUGAUGUGAAAUCUUCGAGCUCAACUCGGAAACUGCAUCGGAAACUAUCUAGCUUGAGGAUUGGAGGGGAGACUGGAAUUCUCGGUGUAGCAGUGAAAUGCGUAGAUAUCGAGAGGAACACCAGUGGCGAAGGCGAGUCUCUGGACAAUUCCUGACGCUGAGGCACGAAAGCUAGGGGAGCAAACAGGAUUAGAUACCCCUGUAGUCC